RNAcentral lists this ribosomal RNA (464 nucleotides) under uncultured bacterium. Its description in RNAcentral is "partial 16S ribosomal RNA". It matches the Rfam family "Bacterial small subunit ribosomal RNA", at positions 342 to 795 of the family's 1533-position model. The record is from RNAcentral.
CGGGACGCUGCAGCAGUGGGGAAUAUUGCACAAUGGGCGCAAGCCUGAUGCAGCCAUGCCGCGUGUAUGAAGAAGGCCUUCGGGUUGUAAAGUACUUUCAGCGGGGAGGAAGGGAGUAAAGUUAAUACCUUUGCUCAUUGACGUUACCCGCAGAAGAAGCACCGGCUAACUCCGUGCCAGCAGCCGCGGUAAUACGGAGGGUGCAAGCGUUAAUCGGAAUUACUGGGCGUAAAGCGCACGCAGGCGGUUUGUUAAGUCAGAUGUGAAAUCCCCGGGCUCAACCUGGGAACUGCAUCUGAUACUGGCAAGCUUGAGUCUCGUAGAGGGGGGUAGAAUUCCAGGUGUAGCGGUGAAAUGCGUAGAGAUCUGGAGGAAUACCGGUGGCGAAGGCGGCCCCCUGGACGAAGACUGACGCUCAGGUGCGAAAGCGUGGGGAGCAAACAGGAUUAGAUACCCUUGUACUC